ACCCAGCUGACGAUUCACAAAUAGGACGAAACGCUCGUCCUGCAU
Non-coding RNA from Schistosoma rodhaini, 45 nucleotides. NCBI's taxonomy places the organism in Eukaryota, Metazoa, Platyhelminthes, Trematoda, Strigeidida, Schistosomatidae. The record is from Rfam.